AGAAUCAACGCUGGCGGCGUGCCUAACACAUGCAAGUCGAACGAGAAAGUGGAGCAAUCCAUGAGUAAAGUGGCGACCGGGUGAGUAACACGUGACUAACCUACCCUCGAGUGGGGAAUAACUUCGGGAAACCGAGGCUAAUACCGCAUAAUAUCCAUGGCUGAGACACUGUGGAUCAAGGAGCAAUUCGCUUGAGGAGGGGGUCGCGGUCGAUUAGCUAGUUGGCGGGUAACGGCCCACCAAGGCAGUGAUCGAUA
This 257-nucleotide ribosomal RNA is filed under the name uncultured bacterium. RNAcentral's name for it is "partial small subunit ribosomal RNA". It matches the Rfam family "Bacterial small subunit ribosomal RNA", at positions 26 to 285 of the family's 1533-position model. The record is from RNAcentral.